RNAcentral lists this ribosomal RNA (944 nucleotides) under Psychrobacter sp. 27F07-MB1-6b. RNAcentral describes it as "bacterial SSU rRNA". It matches the Rfam family "Bacterial small subunit ribosomal RNA", at positions 508 to 1451 of the family's 1533-position model. Lineage: Bacteria; Pseudomonadati; Pseudomonadota; Gammaproteobacteria; Moraxellales; Moraxellaceae. The record is from RNAcentral.
CCAGCAGCCGCGGUAAUACAGAGGGUGCAAGCGUUAAUCGGAAUUACUGGGCGUAAAGCGAGCGUAGGUGGCUUGAUAAGUCAGAUGUGAAAUCCCCGGGCUUAACCUGGGAACUGCAUCUGAAACUGUUAGGCUAGAGUAGGUGAGAGGGAAGUAGAAUUUCAGGUGUAGCGGUGAAAUGCGUAGAGAUCUGAAGGAAUACCGAUGGCGAAGGCAGCUUCCUGGCAUCAUACUGACACUGAGGCUCGAAAGCGUGGGUAGCAAACAGGAUUAGAUACCCUGGUAGUCCACGCCGUAAACGAUGUCUACUAGUCGUUGGGUCCCUUGAGGACUUAGUGACGCAGCUAACGCAAUAAGUAGACCGCCUGGGGAGUACGGCCGCAAGGUUAAAACUCAAAUGAAUUGACGGGGGCCCGCACAAGCGGUGGAGCAUGUGGUUUAAUUCGAUGCAACGCGAAGAACCUUACCUGGUCUUGACAUAUCUAGAAUCCUGCAGAGAUGCGGGAGUGCCUUCGGGAAUUAGAAUACAGGUGCUGCAUGGCUGUCGUCAGCUCGUGUCGUGAGAUGUUGGGUUAAGUCCCGCAACGAGCGCAACCCUUGUCCUUAGUUACCAGCGGGUUAAGCCGGGAACUCUAAGGAUACUGCCAGUGACAAACUGGAGGAAGGCGGGGACGACGUCAAGUCAUCAUGGCCCUUACGACCAGGGCUACACACGUGCUACAAUGGUAGGUACAGAGGGCAGCUACACAGCGAUGUGAUGCGAAUCUCAAAAAGCCUAUCGUAGUCCAGAUUGGAGUCUGCAACUCGACUCCAUGAAGUAGGAAUCGCUAGUAAUCGCGGAUCAGAAUGCCGCGGUGAAUACGUUCCCGGGCCUUGUACACACCGCCCGUCACACCAUGGGAGUUGAUUGCACCAGAAGUGGAUAGCUUAACCUUCGGGGAGGC